RNAcentral lists this non-coding RNA (21 nucleotides) under Rattus norvegicus (Norway rat). The record is from RNAcentral. Lineage: Eukaryota; Metazoa; Chordata; Mammalia; Rodentia; Muridae.
UGCUUUGGUACUGAGAUGAAU